UACAGAGGGUGCGAGCGUUGUUCGGAAUUAUUGGGCGUAAAGCGCAUGUAGGCGGUCUGUUAAGUCGCGUGUGAAAGCUUCCAGCUCAACUGGAAAAGUGCGCGCGAAACUGGUGGACUUGAGUGCUGGAGAGGGUGGCGGAAUUCCCGGUGUAGAGGUGAAAUUCGUAGAUAUCGGGAGGAACACCAGAGGCGAAGGCGGCCACCUGGACAGACACUGACGCUGAGACGCGAAAGCGUGGGGAGCAAACAGG
This 253-nucleotide ribosomal RNA is filed under the name uncultured bacterium. Its description in RNAcentral is "partial 16S ribosomal RNA". It matches the Rfam family "Bacterial small subunit ribosomal RNA", at positions 524 to 776 of the family's 1533-position model. The record is from RNAcentral.